RNAcentral lists this ribosomal RNA (253 nucleotides) under uncultured bacterium. RNAcentral's name for it is "partial 16S ribosomal RNA". It matches the Rfam family "Bacterial small subunit ribosomal RNA", at positions 524 to 776 of the family's 1533-position model. The record is from RNAcentral.
UACAGAGACUGCAAGCGUUAUUCGGAUUCACUGGGCGUAAAGGGUGCGCAGGCGGCCGGGUGUGUCAGAUGUGAAAUCCCGAGGCUUAACCUCGGAACUGCGUCUGAAACUACUCGGCUAGAGUAUUGGAGAGGGUAACGGAAUUCACGGUGUAGCAGUGAAAUGCGUAGAUAUCGUGAGGAACACCAGAGGCGAAGGCGGCAUCCUGGACCAACACUGACGCUGAGGAGCGAAAGCCAGGGGAGCAAACGGG